GCCGGGGUAGCCUAGCUCGGCAGGGCGGGGGACUCGUAAUCCCCAGGUCCCGGGUUCAAAUCCCGGUCCCGGCU
Molecule: transfer RNA, 74 nt
Filed under: Thermococcus sp. AM4
Lineage: Archaea; Methanobacteriati; Methanobacteriota; Thermococci; Thermococcales; Thermococcaceae
Description: tRNA-Thr
Rfam family: tRNA
About the family: Transfer RNA (tRNA) molecules are approximately 80 nucleotides in length. Their secondary structure includes four short double-helical elements and three loops (D, anti-codon, and T loops).
Source: RNAcentral